AGAAUAAAAAUUUAUUAAUUAUGUAAUUUAUAAAUAAUUUUUAAUAAAAGGAAUUUUGUAAUAAAGUUUUUAGUAUAGUUUAUAGAAAAAAUUAAGUUAAUAAUAGAAAAGUAGUAUUGUGAAAGAAUAUUGAAAUAUAUUGAAAAAGAUUUUAUUUUAAAGAAAUAUUAAUUUUAUGUACCUUUUGUAUCAGGGUUUAUUAAUUAAAUUUUAUUAAUAAAUAAAUUUCUCGAAUUUAAAAGAUUUAAUAAAUUAUUAGAGUUAAUGUGGAAUAAUUAUUUUGUAUAAUUUAUUGGUAAUGAAAUGUUAGUCGUUUUUAAAUAUAUCUAGUUUUUUAAGAAAUAAAUUCAAUUUACAUUUUUAAAAGUACAAUUUUUUAUUUAGUUAAAAAUAUUGUUUUUUUUUAUGAAUAUAUUAAGGGAUAAGCUUUAAUUUAAUGUCUAUAAUAAAGGUUAUAAAAAUUAUAAAUAUAAGGUUAGAAAUAUCUAUUAUUAAUAAGUUUGUUUUAAUUUAUAUAAAUGAUUUAUAAUUUAUUCUUAUUUAGAUUUUUUAUUAAAAUAAUUAUUUUAAUGGGUAAAAUAAUGAAAUAAUGAUAAAAUUAGUAUAAAAAUUUGUUAAUUAUUAAUUUAAAAAAUAGAUUAAGUUAAGGAAUUCAGCAAAUUAAUACUCACCUGUUUAACAAAAACAUGUCUUUUUGAUUAUAAUUUAAAGUCUAACCUGCCCACUGAAUUUUUUAAAGGGCCGCGGUAUUUUGACUGUGCAAAGGUAGCAUAAUCAUUAGUCUUUUAAUUGGAGGCUUGUAUGAAUGGUUGGAUGAGGUAUUAACUGUCUCAAUUUAAUAAAUAAUAGAAUUUUAUUUUUAAGUUAAAAAGCUUAAAUUUAAUUAAAAGACGAGAAGACCCUAUAGAUCUUUAUAAUUUAUUAUGUAAUAAUUUUUUAGGUAAAAUUUAUUUUUAUAUAAUUAAUUAUUUUAUUGGGGUGAUAAAAAAAUUUAUAAAACUUUUUUUGUGUUUAAACAGUGAUAUUUGAUUAUUUGAUCCAUUUUUUGUGAUUAUAAGAUUAAGUUACCUUAGGGAUAACAGCGUAAUUUUUUUGGAGAGUUCUUAUCGAUAAAAAAGAUUGCGACCUCGAUGUUGAAUUAAAGGUUAAUUUUAGGUGUAGAAGUUUAAAAUUUUGGUCUGUUCGACCAUUAAAUCUUUACAUGAUUUGAGUUCAAACCGGCGUGAGCCAGGUUGGUUUCUAUCUUUAAUAAAAUAAAAUAUUUUAGUACGAAAGGACCAAAUAUUUAAAAAAUUUUUUAAAAGUGAAUAAUAUUAAU
Molecule: ribosomal RNA, 1318 nt
Filed under: Parachauliodes japonicus
Lineage: Eukaryota; Metazoa; Arthropoda; Insecta; Megaloptera; Corydalidae
Description: 16S ribosomal RNA
Rfam family: Archaeal large subunit ribosomal RNA (bases 1075-1234)
Source: RNAcentral